UACGAAGGAUGCGAGCGUUAUCCGGAUUUAUUGGGUUUAAAGGGAGCGUAGGCGGUCUUAUAAGUCAGUGGUGAAAUCUCGUUGCUUAACAACGAACGUGCCAUUGAUACUGUAGGACUUGAGUACAGUUGCCGUUGGCGGAAUGUGUCAUGUAGCGGUGAAAUGCAUAGAUAUGACACAGAACACCGAUUGCGAAGGCAGCUGACGAAACUGUAACUGACGCCGAGGCUCGAAAGCGUGGGGAUCAAACAGG
RNAcentral lists this ribosomal RNA (253 nucleotides) under uncultured bacterium. Its description in RNAcentral is "partial 16S ribosomal RNA". It matches the Rfam family "Bacterial small subunit ribosomal RNA", at positions 524 to 776 of the family's 1533-position model. The record is from RNAcentral.